AGGAGAGGCGAUUGGCGGCAGAGGAGAGGGCGGAGGAGAGGCGACUGGCGGAGGCGAAGUUGCAGGCAGUGUUGGCUGAGGAGAGGCGACUGGCUGAUGAGAGGACGCUGUCAGUGUUGGCUGAGGAGAGGCGACUAGCUGAUGAGAGGACAAAACAGGCUGUGUUGGCACAAACUAGUCAAUGCUUUGUAAUGUUUGUGGUUAGUUCCUUAAUUGCCAAACAUAUACAUGAACUCUUCUACUACCAGUACUUAAUCUUCACUCAAAUAUAAUUUGCAGGCUUAUUGUAGCCAGAAUGGUAUGCCCACUAUGUAGCUGUCUCAUCAAUCAGGCCAUGGAUCUAAUACUGAUAGAUCUUCACAUGCACGAGGCCCAAGCGGCAACAACCUUGGUGGUUCUCCGAAUUUAUGAGAUCGAGUAUGGUUAGUGCGGACAUAUUUCAUUUACAUAGGUCUCAAAUUUGUCAACAUAGAGACCUGUAGCUAUCUGGAUUCUUGAAGGUUGCCACCUGGAUGUUGUUCGGACUACGACAUGGACAUGAAGGCAUUUGUUGUAGUGCCAAAUCUUACGUAGUAC
RNAcentral lists this long non-coding RNA (576 nucleotides) under Triticum aestivum (bread wheat). Its description in RNAcentral is "long non-coding RNA (TAES_LNC000656)". Lineage: Eukaryota; Viridiplantae; Streptophyta; Magnoliopsida; Poales; Poaceae. The record is from RNAcentral.